UGAAUGCGACUGUGAAGGAUACCGUUCGUAUCAGUCCCUGAGCUGGUUUAUUAAGGCAGCGCAGGCGUGGGCUCCAGAAACAUCUCCUCCGACUGUGUUCAUAACGCUUUGCAGAGAUCGCCCGCAGGUCUCGCGUGGAAGCCCUUCUCUAAGGCCUCCUCUCUGUGCGCUUUCAGGGGACCGUGUUACGUGACCGCAGCACUGGCCUGAGCUGUGAGCAAGGGGAUUGGCCUGACRACUGGAAGUCUCUGCGGAUGAAAGGAGAAGCAAGCUAUGAAUUCCCACGGGGGUACCCAGAGGUUUUGCGYAGGCUCCCUUGUGUUAGCAGAUGCAUACCAAAAAAU
Molecule: long non-coding RNA, 344 nt
Filed under: Dromaius novaehollandiae (emu)
Lineage: Eukaryota; Metazoa; Chordata; Aves; Casuariiformes; Dromaiidae
Description: lncRNA (ENSDNVG00000003222.1)
Source: RNAcentral